This 439-nucleotide long non-coding RNA is filed under the name Trifolium pratense (red clover). RNAcentral describes it as "long non-coding RNA (TPRA_LNC011320)". The record is from RNAcentral. Lineage: Eukaryota; Viridiplantae; Streptophyta; Magnoliopsida; Fabales; Fabaceae.
AUCGGUUUCCUCUCUUUGAGCUGACCGAGAGCGUCCUAUACUCAUACUAGAUGUGUAACUGACAUCUCUCAAUCCACUUGGGUCACUUUCAUAUAAAGAAGAUGUAGACCCAGCAGCGAAUUUGCGACCUCGAUUCGCACCACCAGCAUUCUUAACAAAAGCCAACGAAAUCUUGUUUCGACGAACCUCAUCAUUAUCUCGCCUAUGAGGUGGUAGUCUUUGUUGGUUGGCAUUAUAUUCUUCAACAAAAAUUUGCGUCAACCUCUACAAUAAAUUAAAAAAUAAUUAUAAUUAAUCAAUUAUAAUGUUUAAAUAUAAUUAUAAUGUUUAAAAAAUAAUGUUAUAAGAAAUAAAUAAUAAAUAAUAUAUAUAAAUACUUACUGAAACAUCUUGCGCCCUUGUCCCCGUCCAUUCACCGGAUUCUGCAUACUUGUGUAUC